UGGGGAAUAUUGCACAAUGGGGGAAACCCUGAUGCAGCGACGCCGCGUGAGCGAAGAAGGUUUUCGAAUCGUAAAGCUCUGUCCUAUGGGAAGAUAAUGACGGUACCAUAGGAGGAAGCCCCGGCUAACUACGUGCCAGCAGCCGCGGUAAUACGUAGGGGGCAAGCGUUGUCCGGAAUCACUGGGCGUAAAGGGUUCGCAGGCGGAAAUGCAAGUCAGUUGUGAAAGGCAGAGGCUCAACCUCUGUAAGCAAUUGAAACUGUAUUUCUUGAGAUGUGGAGAGGCAAGUGGAAUUCCUAGUGUAGCGGUGAAAUGCGUAGAUAUUGGGAGGAACACCAGUAGCGAAGGCGGCUUUCUGGACUGCAACUGACACUGAGGCACGAAAGCGUGGGUAGCAAACAGG
RNAcentral lists this ribosomal RNA (403 nucleotides) under Verrucomicrobiota bacterium. RNAcentral's name for it is "Verrucomicrobia bacterium partial 16S ribosomal RNA". It matches the Rfam family "Bacterial small subunit ribosomal RNA", at positions 355 to 776 of the family's 1533-position model. The record is from RNAcentral. Lineage: Bacteria; Pseudomonadati; Verrucomicrobiota.